RNAcentral lists this long non-coding RNA (165 nucleotides) under Betta splendens (Siamese fighting fish). Its description in RNAcentral is "lncRNA (ENSBSLG00000011178.1)". The record is from RNAcentral. Lineage: Eukaryota; Metazoa; Chordata; Actinopteri; Anabantiformes; Osphronemidae.
GCUUAAUCAGCGUUUGUCAUCGUUGCGUCAGCAGAUCAGCUCUCCCACGUAAUUUCUCGAGAAAUUACUUUUUCUAGUUAUUAUUCUUACUACUUAUUCCGCCCUUUUUUUGAUUGCUAUCUACUUUUUAACGCUUCAUCGUAGAAUCGUCGUUCAACUUUCUAA